RNAcentral lists this ribosomal RNA (2622 nucleotides) under Escherichia coli. Its description in RNAcentral is "partial 23S ribosomal RNA". It matches the Rfam family "Bacterial large subunit ribosomal RNA", at positions 332 to 2925 of the family's 2925-position model. The record is from RNAcentral. Lineage: Bacteria; Pseudomonadati; Pseudomonadota; Gammaproteobacteria; Enterobacterales; Enterobacteriaceae.
GUGGAAGCGUCUGGAAAGGCGCGCGAUACAGGGUGACAGCCCCGUACACAAAAAUGCACAUAUUGUGAGCUCGAUGAGUAGGGCGGGACACGUGGUAUCCUGUCUGAAUAUGGGGGGACCAUCCUCCAAGGCUAAAUACUCCUGACUGACCGAUAGUGAACCAGUACCGUGAGGGAAAGGCGAAAAGAACCCCGGCGAGGGGAGUGAAAAAGAACCUGAAACCGUGUACGUACAAGCAGUGGGAGCCUCUUAAUGGGGUGACUGCGUACCUUUUGUAUAAUGGGUCAGCGACUUAUAUUCUGUAGCAAGGUUAACCGAAUAGGGGAGCCGAAGGGAAACCGAGUCUUAACUGGGCGUUAAGUUGCAGGGUAUAGACCCGAAACCCGGUGAUCUAGCCAUGGGCAGGUUGAAGGUUGGGUAACACUAACUGGAGGACCGAACCGACUAAUGUUGAAAAAUUAGCGGAUGACUUGUGGCUGGGGGUGAAAGGCCAAUCAAACCGGGAGAUAGCUGGUUCUCCCCGAAAGCUAUUUAGGUAGCGCCUCGUGAAUUCAUCUCCGGGGGUAGAGCACUGUUUCGGCAAGGGGGUCAUCCCGACUUACCAACCCGAUGCAAACUGCGAAUACCGGAGAAUGUUAUCACGGGAGACACACGGCGGGUGCUAACGUCCGUCGUGAAGAGGGAAACAACCCAGACCGCCAGCUAAGGUCCCAAAGUCAUGGUUAAGUGGGAAACGAUGUGGGAAGGCCCAGACAGCCAGGAUGUUGGCUUAGAAGCAGCCAUCAUUUAAAGAAAGCGUAAUAGCUCACUGGUCGAGUCGGCCUGCGCGGAAGAUGUAACGGGGCUAAACCAUGCACCGAAGCUGCGGCAGCGACACUAUGUGUUGUUGGGUAGGGGAGCGUUCUGUAAGCCUGUGAAGGUGUACUGUGAGGUAUGCUGGAGGUAUCAGAAGUGCGAAUGCUGACAUAAGUAACGAUAAAGCGGGUGAAAAGCCCGCUCGCCGGAAGACCAAGGGUUCCUGUCCAACGUUAAUCGGGGCAGGGUGAGUCGACCCCUAAGGCGAGGCCGAAAGGCGUAGUCGAUGGGAAACAGGUUAAUAUUCCUGUACUUGGUGUUACUGCGAAGGGGGGACGGAGAAGGCUAUGUUGGCCGGGCGACGGUUGUCCCGGUUUAAGCGUGUAGGCUGGUUUUCCAGGCAAAUCCGGAAAAUCAAGGCUGAGGCGUGAUGACGAGGCACUACGGUGCUGAAGCGACAAAUGCCCUGCUUCCAGGAAAAGCCUCUAAGCAUCAGGUAACAUCAAAUCGUACCCCAAACCGACACAGGUGGUCAGGUAGAGAAUACCAAGGCGCUUGAGAGAACUCGGGUGAAGGAACUAGGCAAAAUGGUGCCGUAACUUCGGGAGAAGGCACGCUGAUAUGUAGGUGAAGCGACUUGCUCGUGGAGCUGAAAUCAGUCGAAGAUACCAGCUGGCUGCAACUGUUUAUUAAAAACACAGCACUGUGCAAACACGAAAGUGGACGUAUACGGUGUGACGCCUGCCCGGUGCCGGAAGGUUAAUUGAUGGGGUUAGCGGUAACGCGAAGCUCUUGAUCGAAGCCCCGGUAAACGGCGGCCGUAACUAUAACGGUCCUAAGGUAGCGAAAUUCCUUGUCGGGUAAGUUCCGACCUGCACGAAUGGCGUAAUGAUGGCCAGGCUGUCUCCACCCGAGACUCAGUGAAAUUGAACUCGCUGUGAAGAUGCAGUGUACCCGCGGCAAGACGGAAAGACCCCGUGAACCUUUACUAUAGCUUGACACUGAACAUUGAGCCUUGAUGUGUAGGAUAGGUGGGAGGCUUUGAAGUGUGGACGCCAGUCUGCAUGGAGCCGACCUUGAAAUACCACCCUUUAAUGUUUGAUGUUCUAACGUGGGCCCCUUACCGGGGUUGCGGACAGUGUCUGGUGGGUAGUUUGACUGGGGCGGUCUCCUCCUAAAGAGUAACGGAGGAGCACGAAGGUUGGCUAAUCCUGGUCGGACAUCAGGAGGUUAGUGCAAUGGCAUAAGCCAGCUUGACUGCGAGCGUGACGGCGCGAGCAGGUGCGAAAGCAGGUCAUAGUGAUCCGGUGGUUCUGAAUGGAAGGGCCAUCGCUCAACGGAUAAAAGGUACUCCGGGGAUAACAGGCUGAUACCGCCCAAGAGUUCAUAUCGACGGCGGUGUUUGGCACCUCGAUGUCGGCUCAUCACAUCCUGGGGCUGAAGUAGGUCCCAAGGGUAUGGCUGUUCGCCAUUUAAAGUGGUACGCGAGCUGGGUUUAGAACGUCGUGAGACAGUUCGGUCCCUAUCUGCCGUGGGCGCUGGAGAACUGAGGGGGGCUGCUCCUAGUACGAGAGGACCGGAGUGGACGCAUCACUGGUGUUCGGGUUGUCAUGCCAAUGGCACUGCCCGGUAGCUAAAUGCGGAAGAGAUAAGUGCUGAAAGCAUCUAAGCACGAAACUUGCCCCGAGAUGAGUUCUCCCUGACUCCUUGAGAGUCCUGAAGGAACGUUGAAGACGACGACGUUGAUAGGCCGGGUGUGUAAGCGCAGCGAUGCGUUGAGCUAACCGGUACUAAUGAACCGUGAGGCUUAACCUUACAACGCCGAAG